Molecule: long non-coding RNA, 652 nt
Organism: Apis mellifera (honey bee)
Lineage: Eukaryota; Metazoa; Arthropoda; Insecta; Hymenoptera; Apidae
Exons: 3
Source: RefSeq, a predicted model, not a curated record
ACAUCUCUAUAACAAUUCAUCUUAUUAAAUUAUCACCUAUUAAAAAUCUAUAGGUAUUUCAAUUGAUUUAUGCUAAUCUAUUGUAACUUACAAAAACAUUAUUGUAAAAGAUAAUUUUAACAAAUUAGCAAUUUAAAAGGAAAGAAAGUAGUUAAUAAAUUUAUGAAGGAUCAUAAUUAGAUUUCAUAGAUUAGAAAAUUAUAAUAAAUUGGUCAGCCUCAGAAGGAGAAAAAUUUGAUAGAUUUAAGGAGAAGGAUCAUUUUAGACAUUCCCAUUGGCCCGAUAGGGAAGGUAGGUAUGUAGGUUUCGUAUUGAUCUCCACGUUGCGGCGACCUUUAAUAUCCCCUCUCUUCUAACUCCUAGCCUGUUGGAUGAAACGAGAGGAAUAGAGCAACGAGGGAAGUCGAGGGGAGUCCUGAACGCGACCUACAACAAGCACCGACAGGCGCACAGCUGAUUUCGUAACGACCAGGCGACACUCCCGGAGUUUCACCGUUCUCCGGAAACGCGUAUUGUGUCACGGUCAACAAACACGACGUCAUAAUCGGCUGAAGAAGCUCAGGAAUAGUAGAAAAACGACUUAACUAUGCUAUGAUUCAUAAAAUUGAGAGCAUACCUUGUCUUCUGUAAGAGAAUGUUGCAUUGUUUUAUU